RNAcentral lists this ribosomal RNA (129 nucleotides) under Escherichia coli. Its description in RNAcentral is "partial 16S ribosomal RNA". It matches the Rfam family "Bacterial small subunit ribosomal RNA", at positions 1 to 122 of the family's 1533-position model. Lineage: Bacteria; Pseudomonadati; Pseudomonadota; Gammaproteobacteria; Enterobacterales; Enterobacteriaceae. The record is from RNAcentral.
AAAUUGAAGAGUUUGAUCAUGGCUCAGAUUGAACGCUGGCGGCAGGCCUAACACAUGCAAGUCGAACGGUAACAGGAAACAGCUUGCUGUUUCGCUGACGAGUGGCGGACGGGUGAGUAAUGUCUGGGA